GUAGGGGGCAAGCGUUGUCCGGAUUUAUUGGGCGUAAAGAGCGUGUAGGCGGCCAGGUAGGUCAGCUGCGAAAACUCGAGGCUCAACCUCGAGACGUCGGUUGAAACCAUCUGGCUAGAGUCCGGAAGAGGAGAGUGGAAUUCCCGGUGUAGCGGUGAAAUGCGCAGAUAUCGGGAAGAACACCCGUGGCGAAGGCGGCUCUCUGGGACGGUACUGACGCUGAGACGCGAAAGCGUGGGGAGCGAACAGGAUUAGAUACCCUGGUAGUCCACGCCGUAAACGAUGGGUGCUAGGUGUGGGGGGUGUCGACUCCCCCCGUGCCGAAGCUAACGCAUUAAGCACCCCGCCUGGGGAGUACGGCCGCAAGGCUA
Molecule: ribosomal RNA, 371 nt
Filed under: uncultured bacterium
Lineage: Bacteria
Description: bacterial SSU rRNA
Rfam family: Bacterial small subunit ribosomal RNA
Source: RNAcentral